GAGGGUGUAGCUCAGUGGUAGAGCACACGCUUAGCAUGCAUGAGGUCCUGGGUUCAAUCCCCAGUACCUCCA
This 72-nucleotide transfer RNA is filed under the name Camelus bactrianus (Bactrian camel). It matches the Rfam family "tRNA". Rfam says of the family: Transfer RNA (tRNA) molecules are approximately 80 nucleotides in length. Their secondary structure includes four short double-helical elements and three loops (D, anti-codon, and T loops). Further hydrogen bonds mediate the characteristic L-shaped molecular structure. tRNAs have two regions of fundamental functional importance: the anti-codon, which is responsible for specific mRNA codon recognition, and the 3' end, to which the tRNAs corresponding amino acid is attached (by aminoacyl-tRNA synthetases). tRNAs cope with the degeneracy of the genetic code in two manners: having more than one tRNA (with a specific anti-codon) for a particular amino acid; and 'wobble' base-pairing, i.e. permitting non-standard base-pairing at the 3rd anti-codon position. Lineage: Eukaryota; Metazoa; Chordata; Mammalia; Artiodactyla; Camelidae. RNAcentral also lists the same sequence under 2 other names. The record is from Rfam by way of RNAcentral.